Non-coding RNA from Hyaena hyaena (striped hyena), 693 nucleotides. The record is from the annotation of a RefSeq genome assembly. Lineage: Eukaryota; Metazoa; Chordata; Mammalia; Carnivora; Hyaenidae.
GAGGACCCAUCAGUCCCGCUUCUCACAAUGAGGUUCCCUGCUCAGCUGCUGGGGCUGCUGGUGCUCUGGAUCCCAGGAUCCAGUGGGGAUGUCGUACUGACUCAGACCCCAGGGUCCCUGCCCAUCACCCUUGGACAGCCGGCCUCCAUCUCCUGCAGGGCCAGUCAGAGCCUCGUGCACAGUGAUGGAAACACCUAUUUACAUUGGUACCUGCAGAAGCCAGGCCAGUCUCCACGGCUCCUCAUCUAUAAGGUUUCUAAUCGGGCCUCUGGGGUCCCAGACAGGUUCAGUGGCAGCGGAUCAGGGACAGAUUUCACCCUGAGAAUCAGCAGGGUGGAGGCUGAGGACAUUGGAGUCUAUUACUGCCAGCAAGGUACACACGCUCCUCCCACAGUGAUUCAGCCCCGAACACAAACCUCCCUCCUGUCACGGCCCCGCUGCCCACACGUGCUGUUGUUCUGGGGAGCAGGCACCGCACAUCCUGAGUCUGAGGAAGAAGACGCUAGAGACCCCAGGGGACUAGGUGGCAGCUGCGGGCUCUGGGUCACAGAGGCCUCGGAGGCAGCUCAGGAGGCUGAGCUUCUCAGGGCGGCAGCAGCAGCUGUGGUGACAGAGGACCACAACGUUCUGAUGGCCAUUCAGCCCCCACCCUCUGAGAUGGCCUCUGAGUACACAAGCCUGCCCCGCCUUUGA